RNAcentral lists this transfer RNA (72 nucleotides) under Sphaerodactylus townsendi. RNAcentral describes it as "tRNA-Ala". It matches the Rfam family "tRNA". Rfam says of the family: Transfer RNA (tRNA) molecules are approximately 80 nucleotides in length. Their secondary structure includes four short double-helical elements and three loops (D, anti-codon, and T loops). Lineage: Eukaryota; Metazoa; Chordata; Lepidosauria; Squamata; Sphaerodactylidae. The record is from RNAcentral.
GGAUCCGUGGCUCAGUGGCACAGCAUCUGUUUGGCAUGCAGAAGGCCCCAGGUCCAGGCCUUGGCAUCUCCA